AUUGAACGCUGGCGGAAUGCUUUACACAUGCAAGUCGAACGGCAGCACGGGGGCAACCCUGGUGGCGAGUGGCGAACGGGUGAGUAAUACAUCGGAACGUGCCCGGUCGUGGGGGAUAACGUAGCGAAAGCUACGCUAAUACCGCAUACGAUCUGAGGAUGAAAGCGGGGGACCUUCGGGCCUCGCGCGAUCGGAGCGGCCGAUGUCAGAUUAGGUAGUUGGUGGGGUAAAGGCCUACCAAGCCGACGAUCUGUAGCUGGUCUGAGAGGACGACCAGCCACACUGGGACUGAGACACGGCCCAGACUCCUACGGGAGGCAGCAGUGGGGAAUUUUGGACAAUGGGCGCAAGCCUGAUCCAGCCAUUCCGCGUGCAGGACGAAGGCCUUCGGGUUGUAAACUGCUUUUGUAUGGAACGAAAAGGCUCUGGCUAAUACCUGGGGCUCAUGACGGUACCGUAAGAAUAAGCACCGGCUAACUACGUG
This 484-nucleotide ribosomal RNA is filed under the name uncultured bacterium. RNAcentral describes it as "partial 16S ribosomal RNA". It matches the Rfam family "Bacterial small subunit ribosomal RNA", at positions 30 to 507 of the family's 1533-position model. The record is from RNAcentral.